AUACUAACCUGGCACAGGAGAUACCGUGAUCAAGAAGGCGGUGCUCCCAGGACGAGACCCAGCCAUUGCACUUGGGUUGGGUUGACUUCUGCGAUUACCCCAAAUGUGGGUAACUCGGGUGCAUUAUUUUUGAUAGUGAGGAACUGCGUUCGCGCUUUUCCUCU
This 164-nucleotide small nuclear RNA is filed under the name Helobdella robusta. Its description in RNAcentral is "U1 spliceosomal RNA". It matches the Rfam family "U1 spliceosomal RNA". Rfam says of the family: U1 is a small nuclear RNA (snRNA) component of the spliceosome (involved in pre-mRNA splicing). Its 5' end forms complementary base pairs with the 5' splice junction, thus defining the 5' donor site of an intron. The record is from Rfam by way of RNAcentral. Lineage: Eukaryota; Metazoa; Annelida; Clitellata; Rhynchobdellida; Glossiphoniidae.